This is a long non-coding RNA of Symphalangus syndactylus (siamang), 3367 nucleotides long. RefSeq lists it as uncharacterized. The record is from RefSeq and is a predicted model, not a curated record. Lineage: Eukaryota; Metazoa; Chordata; Mammalia; Primates; Hylobatidae.
UGGUUUGUUUUGUCUUAAUUAUGUAGGUGUUGCAUGCUUGGAAGAGAAAAUUAAGAAAACUAAUUGGAAAACCAUAAAGAUAGCUUUCUCGUGAUAGCCACAAGGCUUGCUGCCUCACUCUGCUCAUAUGUCACCCCUCAAGGAGGCCUUCCCCAGCUCUGUAAACAACCUCUGCUUGGCCUUACUUUUCUCCCUAAUGUUUAUCAGUACCUGACAUAUACUUGUUUCCCACGACUCAACGAUAAGUCUUCAUGAGGGCAGACACUUUUUAAUCCCCUACCACAAGCACCUAGAAUUGUGCCUGGCACAUGGUAGAUGCUUAGUAAAUAUUUGUUUAAUGAAUGAAGGUAAAAAACAUUUCUAAUACGACCAUCCAGGAAUAAGCACUAUUCAUAUUUUAGUCUGUUGUUACAGUUUUACUGUUCAGACAGUUAUAUGUCUGUGAAUAUAUAUAUAUAUUAUAUAUGUGUAUAUAUAUUAUAUAUAUAUAUAUAUUUUUUUUUUUUUUGAGACGGAGUCUCGCUCUGUCACCCAGGCUGGACUGCAGUGGCGCAUUCUUGGCUCACUGCAACCUCCGCCUCCUGGAUUCAAGCAAUUCUCCUGCCUCAGCCUCCCGAGUAGCUAGGAUUACAGGCAUGUGGCACCACGCCCGGCUAAUUUUGUAUUUUUAGUAGAGAUUUGGGUUUCUCCAUGUUGGUCAGGCUGGUCUCGAACUGCUGACCUCAGGUGAUCUGCCCGCCUCGGCCUCCCAAAGUGCUGAGAUGACAGACGUGAGCCACCGUGCCCGGCGGAAUUUUCAUAUUUUAAGUCCCCCACCACUGGACAUUUAGACUGUUUCCAUCUUUCUGUAUUUGCAGAUAUGCUUCUACAUACCCCUUUAUGCAUUUGCUUGAACAUUUCCCUGAGAAAAACUAGAAAUGGAAUUGCUAGAUUACUUUGUGUUCAUAUUUCCAAACUGUCCUCCAGAAAGAAUGUAAUGCUUUGAACUUCCACUUGAGAAUCAAAUGUUUACCUUCCUCUGUUCCUCCAGAUUUGGACAUUUACAGUGUUCAGCCGUUGUUGUGGCAUUCCUGUUCAAUUGGGAAACAGCUUGAUGUAGCGUCCCCAUGAGGUCCACAGUAAUUACAUUUUUUUUUUUUUUGGUGCAGUGGUGCAAUUUCGUGGCUCACUGCAACCUCCAUCUCCCAGGUUCAAGCGAUCCUCCCACCUCAGCCUCCCUAGUAGCUGGGAUUACAGGCGCACACCACCACACCAGGCUAAUUUUUGUAUUUUUAGUAGAGAUGGGGUUCACCAGGUUAGCCAGGCUGGUCUUGAACUCCUGACCUCAAGGGAUCCGCCUACCUCAGCUUUCCAAAGUGCUGGGAUUAUAGGUGAGAACCACUGCACCCAUCCUUUAAACUUUUAAAUCAUGAUAGUUACCAUGUAUAGAGUGUUUAUAUGUCAGGCAUUGAGCUAAGUCCUUUACAUCUCGCGCUUAUUCUGUGCAACAGCCUAAUGGGAGAAAUUCCAUGAAUAUAGUUACCAUUUCCUUGAUUUUUAGAGAAGCUGGAUAUGUUUUCUUUUUUCAAGUAUUAUUUCUAUUUAUCCUUUUGUGAAUUGUCUGUUUUUAUUUUCAUUGGAAUAUUCUUUUUUUUUGACAGAGUCUCACUCUGUUGCCCAGGCUGGAGUGCAAUGGCGCGAUCUCGGCUCAUUGCAAACCUCUGCCUCCCAGGUUCAAGCAAUUCUCCUGCCUCAGCCUUCCAAGUAGCUGGGAUUACAGGCAUCCACCACAACGCCCAGCUAAUUUUUUGUAUUUUUAGUAGAGAUGGGGUUUUGCCAUGUUGGCCAGGCUGGUCUCGAGCUCCUGACCUCAGGUGAUCCACCCCAUUUCGGCCUCCCAAAGUGCUGGGAUUACAGGCGUGAGCCCCCGUGCCCGGCCACACCAUUAUUUUGAAGAGAAAAUUUGAUAAAAAUAAUUGGUCAGUUGUAAAGAUGGUUAACUACCCAACUGGGUAAGAGAGAUUUCUAAGAGUUACAGAAUAGCAACUGCAGGAAGGAACUUGUGCCCUUAGGACUGAGGAAGUAGAAAGGAACGAAAAUUGGAAACAUGAAAGAGCCCUUCCCCUUUCAAUUCAAGUUGGAGACUGGACCUCAGAAGAGGGAGUGGGUGCCCCGCGAACUCACAGCUGGCGGACAGCGGAAAGGGCAGGAGCCGGACCAAGGUGAGGACAGAACUGAAGGCCGCUGGUUACCUCUCCUGCCCUCCGCUGGCCGCACUGGAGAAGACAGCCCCUCCCUCCUGCUCUGACCUGGCAGUGUUCAUCCAUCGUCCUCUAUUAGUGAAGAACAACAUCAAGCUGGCUAGCAAGGAACUGUAUACAGGGUCCAGCUGGGUAUCACAAUGGAUCUCACCCAAAGCUGAGAAGUGAUCCAGCUCGGUAUCACAAAGCAGAACGAAAAGGAUGUGUUUGGGCUGAGAGGCCAUACAUUGAUGGAGUCUUGCUCUGUCGCCCAGGCUGGAGUCCAUUGGCGCGAUCUUGGUUCACUGCAAGCUCCGCCUCCCGGGCUCCGGCAUGACCGGUGACUUCUUCCGAGUCUGGCUUCUGCAGCACACAGGGCUUCGCCAGCACCCAGCUCCUGCAGCAUGGGCAGCUCCUGUGACAGCAGGCGCCCACAGCCUGCAAAGCUUCUCCAGUGCCGACUCCUCAGUGAACCGCAACCAGCGGCACCUAGCAGCUUUCUCCACCAACCUCUUCAAGUAGUUCUGUAGCAGCGCGUUUCUCAUGAGACAGCUCCCUGUGAGCAGCUUUUUCUACCCUUGAGGAUGGAUUUCCAGCAAGUUCUGCCCAUGUGGUACCACAGCCACUUCUCUGCCAUUCAGUGAAACUGCAGAUGUGCCCUCUUCAAAGUCUGGAUCUAAGCCCAGGGACCAGGAAACCUCUUGCUUGAGUGCUGGAACUCAGGCCAGAAGGUGUGGCUGCUGCUAUCUGCUGUGACCAAAGAGAAUCAGAGUUCUCUUUACUUCUUACCAGCCAACCUCUUGAAAAUGCCUUUUUUUUUUUUUUUUUUUGAGACGGAGUCUCGCUCUGUUCCCCAGGCUGCAGUGCAGUGGCUCACUGCAACCUCCACCUCCUGGAUUCAAGUGAUUCUCCUGCCUCAGCCUCCUGAGUAGGUGGGAUUAUAGGCAUGUACCACCACGCCCAGCUAAUUUUGUAUUUUUAGUAGUGACGGGGUUUCUCCAUGUUGGUCAGGUUGGUCUCAAACUCUCGACCUCAGGUGAUCCACCUGCCUCAGCCUCCCAAAGUGCUGGGAUUACAGACAGCCACAGCGCCCGGUCUAAGCGCUUUAUAGCUUAAUUCUAUAUAUUAAAUUUUCCCAGUUCAAAUUA